This 209-nucleotide long non-coding RNA is filed under the name Lathyrus oleraceus (garden pea). RNAcentral's name for it is "Pisum sativum (pea) long non-coding RNA (PSAT_LNC024338)". Lineage: Eukaryota; Viridiplantae; Streptophyta; Magnoliopsida; Fabales; Fabaceae. The record is from RNAcentral.
UUUUCUUUUCCAUUUUUAUUCUAUUUCUUUUAUCACUUAUUUCUCGUUAAUCUAAUAUUUUUGCACAUACUCUUGCUUAUCACAUCUAUCUUAGUUUUGUCCAUUAUUUAUUUUAUAUUCUAUCACUUUUAUUUGGAUAUUUAUACCCUUGUUCUUGAUGAUGGUUGAUAAGAUCUAUUGAUCAUGGUAAUGAUUUUUUAGGGUUGACC